This is a long non-coding RNA of Chinchilla lanigera (long-tailed chinchilla), 1935 nucleotides long. RefSeq lists it as uncharacterized. NCBI's taxonomy places the organism in Eukaryota, Metazoa, Chordata, Mammalia, Rodentia, Chinchillidae. The transcript has 4 exons. The record is from RefSeq and is a predicted model, not a curated record.
CUGGCCAGCCCGGGUUGUCUGGGUAACCUAGGCAGACAGCGUUUAGAGGCAAACGCUGACCCUCUCACCACUUUCUUGUGGGACUACCCUAAACUCGGAGAGCCGUAACACUGCAGAGUCAUCCCGACUUCGCUGGAUCCGUAAAACAGUAAAACUAAACGCUUCCCUGGAUUCCGUCAGUUUUGUCUGGUAUUUGUCUAAGGAGAUGUCGUGACCUGUGCACAAUAAGGCAGAGUUACGGUUUCCCUGCCGGGCAGGGCGGACUACUCUAAACCGGGAGCCCCGGCAGUUCAGUGGCAGGUGCUUCCUUCCGAGCGCUGGUUCCCUGCAUCCGCCUCCCCGGGGGCUUUUGCGGAAACAAAAAAGUUCCAUUAUCACUCUGAAGUGACCUGGGAAGUCCACAUGUAGGAGUAAUGUCUUUAAUCAAGUCUUACCGACUUUUUGCCUUUUGAGUUGGAGAAGGAUACACUUUUAUACACCCAGCGAAGGUGUCAGCACAAACUAAGAGCUGUUUCAGAGUGGUCUCCAUCAUAAGGAUGAUCAAGUGCAAGAAGUCUGGACCCUACUCCAAGUGUGAGAAAGUCAAUAUGCCUAGUUCAUGGCACUGGAGGGUGGAUUGUCCCUGCUCCCAGAGAGAAGAUAAGCCAACCAGAACCUUUGUCUCCUGCUCUGAAGAAGCCCAAGGGAACCUACAAUACUCCUGUCUGUGGAUAUGACCAUCUCCUACACAGAACCCUGGAUAACACUGGACAUCAUAGUUUGCGAGAGCAAGUGCCUCUUGUCCUCAGUACCUUUGUGUGCAAGCACCCGUUUCCCAGCGGCGCAGGAGUCUCUAACUGUAAAGAGGAAAAAACCCUAAGCUGCACAAGUUUGUAGAGAGAGAGAAGUCUGUUUGGAAAGAGGAAAAGACAAGCUACGCUUUGGUGGUAAAGGCGUGGGAAAGCACACUUCAGAGGAACGGGGCUUGGACGAGAAGUCGGGGAGAAGAAAAACUAAAAGUCUUUUUGCCAGACUUACUGAAGCUACCCUCUCCAUGCUUCUUUCUCCCUCCUGGCUGACUUGCCAAGAAAAAAGGCCACUGGUCUGGAUCCGAGGGAGCCUGGGGCUGGAAUAAGGAACUUAAAUUCCUUUCUGUAGCAGGUUCACUGACUCCCAUCACAGAAAGAGAAUGUUCAGGGCACAUCAGUAAAAGGCAAGAGAAGGGUGUAGGAGACAGAGACUUUAGGACACUGUCAAGGAUGGAGAGCAGGAGAGAAAGGAAGCACCCUACAGUGUGGGACUGGGGACACUGAUGCUUCCUUGAGGGGAUAGAAAAGCCCAGGGAAAGGCGGCCCACCUCCCAUCAGAGGGAUGUUAGCCCAUUGUAGAGGUGUGGGCUUUCUUUUCAGCAGGUAAUUUGAACAUUCUUUCGGUUUGCUCAGACUGAUCCUUUAUCUUGGGAUCAGGUUCUGUUCCUUACUUUUUCAAUUAAGGCAGUUUAUGGACUUCAAUAUUUCUAAGGAAUUUGAGGUAUGAUGGCUUUGAUAGGGAAGGAGUAAACUUAACCAAAGGAAUCACGUUGGGUAGUUUUGGUUAGUUCCUGAAAGCUGCAGUCUUCUUAAAAACACAAUUUUAUGAUUAUGAUUUGCUUGUCUCCUUUCUACCUUUAUUUCUUCUAUUUUACCUCAGGAUAAUGCAUAUUAAAGGACUAUUUAACACAUCUGAGACUAGUAAGAGCUUAGCAAGUGUCAGUUCCUAUCCUUCCCUCCUGCAAAGCUGAGGCCUGGGAUACAGUGACUUUCUCCUGCACUUCUGGCUCUGUCUCCUGCUUGUCUGCCUGGGAGACAUCUGCAGAGUUCUGUAAGGGUCACAAGGACUGAGCUCUAGUAGAUAAAUUUCAGGCUGAUCACAAGGAAGGCUCUGCCUCUCUAGUGAAAAAUAAAAUCUACAUAAGUG